AAUCAACGCUGGCGGCGUGCCUCAGACAUGCAAGUCGAACGAGAAGUCCCCUUCGGGGGAUGGAUAGUGGCGCACGGGUGAGUAACACGUGGGUAAUUUACCUUUGGGUGGGGAACAACAGCCGGAAACGGCUGCUAAUACCGCAUAAUGCAGCGGCUCCUCAUGGAGACAGUUGUUAAAGCGGGGGAUCGCAAGACCUCGCGCCUGAAGAGAAGCCCGCGGCAGAUUAGCUAGUUGGUAAGGUAAUGGCUUACCAAGGCGACGAUCUGUAACCGGCCUGAGAGGGCGGUCGGUCACACUGACACUGACAUACGGGUCAGACUCCUACGGGAGGCAGCAGUCGGGAAUUUUGGGCAAUGGGCGAAAGCCUGACCCAGCAACGCCGCGUGAAGGAUGAAG
Molecule: ribosomal RNA, 399 nt
Filed under: uncultured bacterium
Lineage: Bacteria
Description: bacterial SSU rRNA
Rfam family: Bacterial small subunit ribosomal RNA
Source: RNAcentral